UUAACUCAAAUUUGUAUGGAGUUGGAAAGUUUUCCUACGUUUGGGACGCUCUUUCAAUUGCAUACAAAUUUGAUUUA
Bombyx mori (domestic silkworm) is the source of this 77-nucleotide non-coding RNA. Lineage: Eukaryota; Metazoa; Arthropoda; Insecta; Lepidoptera; Bombycidae. The record is from Rfam.